Molecule: ribosomal RNA, 74 nt
Filed under: Stereostratum corticioides
Lineage: Eukaryota; Fungi; Basidiomycota; Pucciniomycetes; Pucciniales; Pucciniaceae
Description: partial 5.8S ribosomal RNA
Rfam family: 5.8S ribosomal RNA
About the family: 5.8S ribosomal RNA (5.8S rRNA) is a component of the large subunit of the eukaryotic ribosome. It is transcribed by RNA polymerase I as part of the 45S precursor that also contains 18S and 28S rRNA. Functionally, it is thought that 5.8S rRNA may be involved in ribosome translocation.
Source: RNAcentral
CAGUGAAUCAUGGAUCUUUGAACGCAUCUUGUGCCUUUUGGUAUUCCAAAAAGCACACCUGUUUGAGUGUCAUG